UCCCUGUUCAACCCCAACCCUAAGGUCUCUCCUCACACAGCGUCUCUCUUGCCGCCUCCCUCACUCUCCGGUGGAGUGGAGAGAGAAGUCGCUUUCCGUCGAGUCCUGGUCGGCGCCGUUCUCGUCGGAGCCAUUCUCGUCGGUGCCGUCUCUCCUCCUCGAGUCUUUAUCGCCGUCUGCCCCUCGCCGCGUACUUCCUCUGCUCGUUCCGCCAUUGUCGCAGAUCGUCGCAUCCCCGUCCAGAUAUGCCGUUGCUCGCAUCGCGUCGUUCUUUUCUCAGCGUCGCCUCCUGUGGUAACUUCUCCGGUAACAACAACAACAACAGUCUUCCGGUUAAGCUGAUUUUCUCCUUCAGUCAAGACUUCCCUAGCUCUUGGGAGAUUCCUAUAAAGACCCCAUUACUAGUUUCCGUCUCUUCCACAAAUUCUCUGUUGAACACCCUCAGGCAAGUUCUAACUCUUAAACACUCCCCCUCUUGAUUUAGGUAAUUUGAUUACGUGUCCUGUUAUUGGUGCAGGAGUAUUGGUCCAUUGUUCUUAAGGAACAAUCAGUUUCAUUCAUUGAAGCUCCAAGGUGCAUUUGGAUACUUCUGAUCCCACAAAGCCUGGAGGAACUUGGCUUCCUGGAGCUGUCUUGAAUAUCGCUUAUUGCUGCUUGCAGCCGAGCACACGCCCCUACAAACCAGAUGACAGUUUAGCCAUUGUCUGGAGGGAUGAAGGAUUUGAUGAUACUGAGCUGAAUCAUAUCACACUCAAACAACUUCGACAGCAAGUAACGCUGAUAGCAAAUGCAAUUGAAGCCACGUUCUCAAAGGGAGAUGCAAUUGCAAUUGACAUGCAAAUGACAGCCAGUGCUGUCAUUAUAUAUUUGGUCAUUGUUCUCGCAGGAUGUGUUGUAGUCUCAAUAGCUGAUAGCUUUGCACCAAAAGAAACCGCAACUCGCCUGCACAUAUCUAAGGCAAAGGGUAUAUUCACACAGAAGGAUAAUGUAUCUAAUCAGUGCAAGCAUAUAGUCCACCUUCUCGCAAAUGAGCAAUCUCGGCUUCGAAUUCCAGAUGCAACUGAUCCUGUAAUUCUUUGUUUCUUUCUGAUAUCUCGCCUUCUCCUUGUCUGAUUCAGAUGUUAGGGCAUUGCAGGUAAGGUUUUGAGUUUCUCCAUGGACAUUGUCUUUGUUUUUGCUCGUGGUGGACUUUGUGCUCUGCUUGACCAACAGGCCCAUGCGCGUGCCAUGGAGUCUCUGGUGCAAGCCAAAAUGCGGCACAAGGAGUUUAUUAUAUUGUGCCUUGAAGAUUGUAGUGACUGGAGCAAUGCUACUACAAGGUUAACUGUGGUACUGCUGUUUUUCUAAAGCCAGAGUUUUACUCCUGUAGUAAAUUGAAUUCGUUGAACUUUGGGGUGGGUUUAACAUACAAAAUCUUCAUUAGCAACCUUGGCAAUAUAACGGCCUACUUCUGCGAUUGCUCUCAACAUGCAGAUUUUGAAAUCCUGACUAUUUAGAAGGUAUUCAUAAAUCCCCUUCAUUUUGAAUUAAUUUGAUCAACUUUUAUUAUGCUAAACAAUGCAGGUGGAUAUAUUCGUUAGAGAUUGCUUUCUUUGUUAUGGCUGAUCAUAUAUAAAUCUGAAUUCAUGGUUAAAGUUUGUAUGUGGAUAAUAUUCUACAUUGACUAUUUUAGCAUCUAAGUUUGUAUGUGCUGAUCAUAUAUUACAUUUACUUUGUACACAUGUUUUCCAAUUUAAAAUUAUAUUUUUAGAGAAAGAAGCCCAUGCAUUUGUAAUCUAUAACAAAUUUACAUACUAUUGUGAAUUUACAAAUUUUAACUUAUUUGCAUCAUCUUUCUUUGUUUCUUC
Molecule: long non-coding RNA, 1847 nt
Organism: Arachis stenosperma
Lineage: Eukaryota; Viridiplantae; Streptophyta; Magnoliopsida; Fabales; Fabaceae
Exons: 6
Source: RefSeq, a predicted model, not a curated record